Molecule: long non-coding RNA, 256 nt
Filed under: Erythranthe guttata (spotted monkey flower)
Lineage: Eukaryota; Viridiplantae; Streptophyta; Magnoliopsida; Lamiales; Phrymaceae
Description: long non-coding RNA (EGUT_LNC002271)
Source: RNAcentral
AUCAUGCUUUGUUCGGUUUUAAAUCUCACCUUAGGACAUUUAUGAAACGAAGUGUUGGGUAAUGAGUGAUUUGGGAUAUGAUUUGGGCCUUCUUUGAACCGUUUGAGCCUUUCAAGCCUACCUUUAAAUUUUUAUCCUUAGAACCUUGAUUUGAGCCUCGGAGAAAAAAGGUGUUCUUUCUUUUAGCUAAUAUGUAGAAGGUGGAAAAGUGGAGAUUUUUGAAUAAUUAUCCCUUGGAGUUCGGUCGAAAUGUUUU